This 517-nucleotide long non-coding RNA is filed under the name Citrus x clementina. RNAcentral describes it as "Citrus clementina (C. clementina) long non-coding RNA (CCLE_LNC003098)". Lineage: Eukaryota; Viridiplantae; Streptophyta; Magnoliopsida; Sapindales; Rutaceae. The record is from RNAcentral.
AAUGUAAUAUUGUAAAAGCAAGUUAAAAAUAAAAAAAAAAUAAUGGCAUAAGUGUCAAUAUGUAGUAGCAGGGACGUUUUGAGGUGUUUUUAAAAAUACAGGGACUAAAUGGACACUAACCUCAUAAUAUAGGGACUAAACAAGCUUUUACCCCUUAUAUUAUUAUCGCACUGUUCUGAAUUUGAUCAUCUGCACCAUUUCUCUUACUUCAAACUCCUUAACACACCCACUCAUUGUAUUGUUUGUUUUCUCCGCAAACUCUUUGAACAUUUCAACAAGUCAUUGAUUUAUUUGUAAUCUAUUUGUGAUUCUUCUUCAAUCGUCAUUUAUCAAUUAUUUUGUUGAAAUAAUAUUUGACCCCCCAUCUUUAGAGAUUCGUUAUUCUCUCUCUUUUUUUUGAAAAAAAUCAAUUAUUUUAAAUUAAAAUAUAAAUACAUUUACUUUAAAUCAACAAUUAGCAUUAUAAGAUUUUAUCACCUUGGAAAUUUGUUUAUGUGGAGGGUUGAUAAAUAAGACU